AAGUCGUAACAAGGUCUCCGUUGGUGAACCAGCGGAGGGAUCAUUACCGAGUUUACAAACUCCCAACCCUUUGUGAACCUUACCAUAUUGUUGCUUCGGCGGGACCGCCCCGGCGCCUUCGGGCCCGGAACCAGGCGCCCGCCGGAGGCCCCAAACUCUUAUGUCUUUAGUGGUUUUCUCCUCUGAGUGACACAUAAACAAAUAAAUAAAAACUUUCAACAACGGAUCUCUUGGUUCUG
This 239-nucleotide unclassified non-coding RNA is filed under the name Xepicula jollymannii. RNAcentral's name for it is "partial internal transcribed spacer region". The stretch from base 1 to 46 matches the Rfam family "Eukaryotic small subunit ribosomal RNA", at positions 1786 to 1831 of the family's 1831-position model. The record is from RNAcentral. Lineage: Eukaryota; Fungi; Ascomycota; Sordariomycetes; Hypocreales; Stachybotryaceae.